GCCCCAACGCAGCGCUGGAAACCUAGCAGCUCCCCGAUGCCUUCGGCCCAGUAGCUCAGUCACCCAGGUUGGGUGAAGUUAGAGACCGGCACCCUUACACCAAGAUGCUGGGGCCCCGGCCAGGUAUUUUUUGCACCGGGGCUGGGAGGUGGCCGAGCAGCCCGCAAUGCUGCCAGGCGAGCGGUGGGAGCCGAGCAGAGCGGACGGGCUCUGCUAGCAGGGUCGCCCUCCCACCCUCCCGGGCCGGGCCCCUGCGGGGGAUCAGCCCGUUAAGCCGGGGAUGAGGCGACACCGGCCGGUCCGUUAGGCGCAGCCCGGCAGCGGCUGACAGCGCUCCGCUCGCCCGGGAGCCACGGCAGCUGUGAGGGGCCCCGUCCCAGGCAGCCCCCCCCGUGCCUCACCUCGGUCUCCACCACCUCAUGUAUGUCGCUAGCCAUCACACUCCUCAUGUCAACAAACCAAUGGGCAGAAAAAGUGGUCACACAGUAUAGACUUUCUAAUUCCUCUCACUCUUUUAAUGGAACUACGUACAAAUCAAUUGUGUGGAAAUUGUGAGUUUUGGAAUUCACCUUCCAAAACGAGGGAAGGCACUUUCAUUCACACUGACUCCAGACAUGAGGUACUAGAGUUCAUUGAGCUGCCAAGGCUCAAAUGUGGCAGGCUCCAGAAAAAUUCCAGCAUUUCUGGUUGAUCCAUUUAAUAUGUUGAAUGUUGACUCUUCAGUCAAUCAUAUUACCUACAGUAGUGCUUACAUUUCACUUUUUCAUUUUCAAAGCACUUUACAACCAUUAGUUAGUCCUCAACGCACUGUGAGUAGGUCAGACUUAUCUCCAUUUUACAGAUGGGAAAAUUGAGGCACAGAGAGUUUAAGUGACUUGCCUAAGGCUAUACAGAGGAAGCCCAGCACUUAGCUCAGCAGACUACAUCUGUAAUUUUGCAUGCAGGUGAAUGAAUUAAAGCCUUAUUGGCUUCCAGGCAGAAGUAGUAGGGAAGCAGAAUGCCGUGGACUCAGUUGUAGUGAUAGAUGCUGUAUUAUAGUCAAGCAGUGCUGAAACUAGCUAGCUGUAAUUUUAUAUUGGGCAGACUGAUGACAUUUUGGCCAAGUGUGGAGGUAGCACUGAGCGAUAACAGUGCAGUGUCACUUUAGAAACCAGGAGUGCCAGUCCCAAAGGUGCCUUUUACCAUCUCACCGGACAGGGUUCAUUGGAGACUGCCCUCAGGCAAAGACCAUGUUUUACAGCUCAGUGGAGGUGCUGGGGAGGAUGUCAAGUAAUCCUUCAGGAAGGGUCCCAAGUUGCACACAUUUUUCCUGUGAUAGCACUAGAAGGAAUUUAUGCCCCAGAUGGAGGAGGUUAGCUGAGCAAAUGCGCCCAAAUGGAGCAUUGCAAAGAGGAUGUGGUGCCUAGAGACCCAGAAGGGCAUUGGAGGGUGCAAGGAAGCACAACAAUACAUUUAAAAGUUCAAGAUACAAGAAACAAUGAAAAAGGAUAAAGGGAACAAAAGUGUCAAAUAAAACAUGUAUAUUUAUAACAUGAUUUCUAGAGACUAAACCCAGCAGGCUAACUUUCUGUCUAAAGAAGUUUAUCUCAUCCAAAUGUCCUUUGCAGCAUUUCCAACCAUGGCAGGUUGUGAUCCUGUUUUCAUGAAUGUAAUUGUACUGCCCAGUUACUUGCUAAGUGCAGGAUAAAGGGUUGUCUUCCUUGCCUUCUCCUUAUUUUCCCCAAAGUUCAUUGUCUGAACUUCAGAAUUUGGAUGAGCCCUACCCUCAUAGCAUAUUCUCUGGUGUGCUGCCUCCCUGUUGAGUUCACAACCCUCCCAUUGACUUCAUAUACCCAAGCAAUGCUGUGUUUUAGAGAUCACCUUUACUUAAACAGCAAAUGCAACAUUUUCACUCUGUGAGAACAAACAGUUGUAUUGCUGUGGAGACCAUGCAUGCACAGCACAGGUAAAGGGUGACAUCCUGGCCCAAUGGGAGUAUCCCCAUUGACUUCAACAGAGUGAGGAUUUCACCCAAAAUCUUUGAAUUUACUGGAAAAAAAUUUUGUGAUCAUGUUUUUAUUUUCCUUUGUGCCUAUUAUAAAUAAAGCUUCAGCGCCUUGUAGCUGAAAGUGACUAA
Long non-coding RNA from Dermochelys coriacea (leatherback sea turtle), 2116 nucleotides. RefSeq lists it as uncharacterized. Lineage: Eukaryota; Metazoa; Chordata; Testudines; Dermochelyidae. The transcript has 3 exons. The record is from RefSeq and is a predicted model, not a curated record.